GAAGCAGUGCCUGGGGGUGCUGAGGGUGGAGAAGGCUCUGCAGGAAGGGAGCAGAGCAGGGAGCAGAGCCCUUCCUGCAUCACCUGCACGUUCUCAUCUCGAGAUCCGCGGGGAACGCGAAGAAAGCCGCCUUAGGAUACGGGUAAAGUGUUGGGAACCUGGAUCUGCUCCGGGCAUCACCAGGAAUGGGCAGGAGAAGCUGUGCGUGCAUUCCAAGGGCUGCACUGCCACCUCCAGGCCCUCCCUUUCCCACGUUUGGGCUUUUGCACUUCA
Molecule: long non-coding RNA, 273 nt
Filed under: Phasianus colchicus (ring-necked pheasant)
Lineage: Eukaryota; Metazoa; Chordata; Aves; Galliformes; Phasianidae
Description: lncRNA (ENSPCLG00000009704.1)
Source: RNAcentral